GCUGGGUGUGGUGGCACACGCCUGUAAUUCCAGCGACUCAGGAGGCUAAGGCAGGAGGAUCACAAGGUCAAAGCCAGUUUCACCAAUUUAGUGAGGCCCUCAGCAACCUAGUGAGACUCUGUCUCCA
RNAcentral lists this small RNA (127 nucleotides) under Marmota monax (woodchuck). Lineage: Eukaryota; Metazoa; Chordata; Mammalia; Rodentia; Sciuridae. The record is from RNAcentral.